This 73-nucleotide transfer RNA is filed under the name Auricularia auricula-judae (jelly ear fungus). RNAcentral's name for it is "tRNA-Lys". It matches the Rfam family "tRNA". Rfam says of the family: Transfer RNA (tRNA) molecules are approximately 80 nucleotides in length. Their secondary structure includes four short double-helical elements and three loops (D, anti-codon, and T loops). Further hydrogen bonds mediate the characteristic L-shaped molecular structure. tRNAs have two regions of fundamental functional importance: the anti-codon, which is responsible for specific mRNA codon recognition, and the 3' end, to which the tRNAs corresponding amino acid is attached (by aminoacyl-tRNA synthetases). tRNAs cope with the degeneracy of the genetic code in two manners: having more than one tRNA (with a specific anti-codon) for a particular amino acid; and 'wobble' base-pairing, i.e. permitting non-standard base-pairing at the 3rd anti-codon position. RNAcentral also lists the same sequence under 1 other name. The record is from RNAcentral. Lineage: Eukaryota; Fungi; Basidiomycota; Agaricomycetes; Auriculariales; Auriculariaceae.
GAGAACAUAACUCAGUUGGUAGAGUGGUUGACUUUUAAUCAAUUUGUCGUUGGUUCGAUCCCAACUGUUCUCA